Molecule: microRNA, 22 nt
Filed under: Heligmosomoides polygyrus
Lineage: Eukaryota; Metazoa; Nematoda; Chromadorea; Rhabditida; Heligmosomidae
Description: hpo-miR-10038-3p
Source: miRBase by way of RNAcentral
AGCGUGGCGCUCCACAUGGACA